RNAcentral lists this ribosomal RNA (785 nucleotides) under uncultured Neocallimastigales. Its description in RNAcentral is "partial large subunit ribosomal RNA". It matches the Rfam family "Eukaryotic large subunit ribosomal RNA", at positions 1 to 624 of the family's 3401-position model. Lineage: Eukaryota; Fungi; Neocallimastigomycota; Neocallimastigomycetes; Neocallimastigales. The record is from RNAcentral.
GAGAGAGACAUGCGCGCAUAUCAAUAAGCGGGAGGAAAAGAAACUAACAAGGGAUUCCCUUAGUAACGGCGAGUGAAGCGGGAAGAGCUCAAAUUUGAAAUCUUCAAGGUUUUACCUUGACGAAUUGUAGUUUAAAGAAGUGUUUUUCUGCUGAAGUUUUGGUAAAAGUUCUUUGGAAUAGGACAUCAUAGAGGGUGAGAAUCCCGUAUUUGACCAUUAUUUUUCAGCUUUGUGAUACACUUUCAAAGAGUCGGAUUGUUUGGGAAUGCAGUCCAAAAUGGGUGGUAAAUUUCAUCUAAAGCUAAAUAUUGGCGAGAGGACCGAUAGCGAACAAGUAUCCGUGAGGGAAAGAUGGAAAAGAACUUUGAAAAGAGAGUUAAACAGUACGUGAAAUUGUCAAAAGGGAAGCGUUUGACACCAGUGUUGUUUUUCUCGAAAAUCAAUUAAAAAAUGGCUCGAUUUUGUAUUGUUGAGACCUUAAAAGCUCACUGUACAUUUUUCGUGUCUUUUUUUAAUGCACUUUUCGUUUAACAAGUCAACAUCAGUUUUCUUUUGAUUGUAAAAGGGUCAUUGGAAGGUGGCUUUCUUUUCGGAGAAAGUGUUUAUAGCCUUUGGCCUCUGCAAUCGGAGAGACUGAGGUCUGCAGCGUAGACUCUUCGGGGUUAGAUACAUUUGUGCUAAGUUAUAGCUUUUUAUAGACAACUUGUUGACUAUAAUUAGUCUUGUAGCUUACUCGCUUAUGCUAUUUUACCUACGCUUAGGAUGUUGAGUCGUAGAGCACGCAG